ACAUUGUUUUAUUUAAAAUCUGCAGUCCCCUUCCACAUCAGCUGGGGGCGAUAAUGAGCGUUGUUCGAUUGUUGUUUUUUAACGAGAAGAAGAAAAUGAAUCUGUAACCCGGAAGUUAAACUUCACAACAAAAAAAUUGCCUGGAAAUCUUCUCCGUGAAACCAUCUCAGGCAGCCAAUGGACUUUUUAUUUCUCAUCUCAUUUUCUCAUUUUUUAUUUCAUUUGAGUAAAUAGUGCUUUUGUCUUGAGACUUGUGUAGAACCACAGUGUCUCUCAACGUGGGUUUAACAUGGACGAAUAUGACUAACUGUUCGAGAUCCAAGAUGAGUUCGAGGACCAGUUCGCAGACGAGCUGGAGGUUCUGGCUCAGAUGGAGGGGGAGUCCCCAACACACUUAAACUUUAUUUCUCAUUAACUCGUUUUAGUUUAUUUGUGCACAUCCUCAGCAGUUAACAAUCAAUACACAACUGAGCAGCUGUUCUUCUAAGGGACCGGAAGGGGGAGCUCUCGGGCAGGACGCGUCUGAAGUGGCCUGAGGAAGAAGCAUCAUGGCCGCUCAUCUCAGCUGGUGCCAACAAUACAAUCACCACACCUGGUCCAGAUCAACAAUCAACCCUUCCCCUUUAAAUAGUGCUUUGUUUUUUGUUAGCGAGAGAGGAGGCUUUUUGGAGGAAGCUGUGUCAGAGCUCUGUUGGUUUUUGUUUGGUUUAGCGUAGAUAUUUGCUGUUGCCUUGAUUUAAUUUUGUCUUUAUUAAUUGAGUUGUUAGCUGCCGCCUACGUUUGGUUUUGUCUUUGUGAAUGUUUGUUUGUUGUGCGCACUGGGACAACAAGGACAGGUAAGAUACUCCGGGGUCUACAUAUAACACACACGUAGGUUUACUUCUUGUUAAUACCCCAGGUUAGAGUGAGCACCACCCGCUGUACUUUUGGGUGCUAAGCACCUGUAAAGGGGGGGUGGGUUUUUUUUGUGUUCUUUUCUUUGGUGCCACUGAGAGUCCUUGUUGAUCCCUGUGUUGCGUUGUUUAAAUAAAUACUUUCUUUGCCUUUUA
Long non-coding RNA from Pleuronectes platessa (European plaice), 1049 nucleotides. RefSeq lists it as uncharacterized. The record is from RefSeq and is a predicted model, not a curated record. The transcript is spliced from 2 exons. NCBI's taxonomy places the organism in Eukaryota, Metazoa, Chordata, Actinopteri, Pleuronectiformes, Pleuronectidae.